This is a long non-coding RNA of Rhincodon typus (whale shark), 209 nucleotides long. RefSeq lists it as uncharacterized. NCBI's taxonomy places the organism in Eukaryota, Metazoa, Chordata, Chondrichthyes, Orectolobiformes, Rhincodontidae. The record is from RefSeq and is a predicted model, not a curated record. The transcript has 3 exons.
GACCCUAAUGUGCUGAGCCAGUUUCCUGAAGAUUACAGUGACCAGGAAUCUCUACAGAGCCUGCCCAAAUUCUGCUUUCCUUUUGAUGUGGAACGGGUAUGGGAGAGCUCAGUCGUCCAGCAGUUCACCUUCGUGCUGACAGAUCUAGAUGGAAACCAGCGGUUUGGCUUCUGCCGGCUGACUGGGGGGUCAAAGACGUGCAUCUGCAU